CGCCUCUUGCUCAGGAUAAGAGGUCCAGCCUGCCCGGUGACUCUUGUUUAACGGCCGCGGUAUCCUAACCGCGCGAAGGUAGCGUAAUCACUUGUUUUUUAAAUAAAGACUUGUAUGAAUGGCACCACGAGGGCCAAACUGUCUCCUUUUUUUUAUCAGUGAAACUAAUCCCCCCGUGAAGAAACGGGGAUUUUUAUAUAAGACGAGAAGACCCUAUGGAGCUUUAAACUUUACAGCACCUGCUUAUCUUGUUCUUCUAGGAGUCUACCAUCACUACAAGCAUGUCUGCCUAAAAGUUUUCGGUUGGGGCGACCACGGAGAACAAUAUAUCCUCCACGAUAAAAAGACCUACCUUUAGUAAAGAGCUACAACUUUAUACAUCAGUAAGACUGAUAUACAUUGACCCAAAUUUUUGAUCAACGAACCAAGUUACCCUAGGGAUAACAGCGUUAUCCACUUUGAGAGCUCCUAUCGACAAGUGGGCUUACGACCUCGAUGUUGGAUCAGGGUAUCCUAGUGGUGCAGCCGCUACUAAUGGUUCGUUUGUUCAACGAUUAAAACCCU
This 564-nucleotide ribosomal RNA is filed under the name Oreobates pereger (Ayacucho Andes frog). RNAcentral describes it as "partial 16S ribosomal RNA". It matches the Rfam family "Bacterial large subunit ribosomal RNA", at positions 1831 to 2597 of the family's 2925-position model. Lineage: Eukaryota; Metazoa; Chordata; Amphibia; Anura; Strabomantidae. The record is from RNAcentral.